Molecule: non-coding RNA, 25 nt
Filed under: Arabidopsis thaliana (thale cress)
Lineage: Eukaryota; Viridiplantae; Streptophyta; Magnoliopsida; Brassicales; Brassicaceae
Source: RNAcentral
GAUCCUAUUGUGUUGGCCUUCGGGA